AGCAGUCGCCGCGGUAAUACGGGGGGGGCUAGCGUUGUUCGGAAUUACUGGGCGUAAAGCGUACGUAGGCGGCUUUGUAAGUUAGAGGUGAAAGCCUGGUGCUCGACACCAGAACUGCCUUUAAGACUGCAUCGCUUGAACGUCGGAGAGGUGAGUGGAAUUCCGAGUGUAGAGGUGAAAUUCGUAGAUAUUCGGAAGAACACCAGUGGCGAAGGCGGCUUACUGGCUCAUUCUAGACGCUGAGGUGCGAAAGCGUGGGGAGCAAACAGGAUUAGAUACCCCCGUAGUCCCUGUCUCUUAUAC
This 303-nucleotide ribosomal RNA is filed under the name uncultured bacterium. RNAcentral's name for it is "partial 16S ribosomal RNA". It matches the Rfam family "Bacterial small subunit ribosomal RNA", at positions 507 to 807 of the family's 1533-position model. The record is from RNAcentral.